AUUAAAAUCUAAAUAAGUUUGACCUGGUAGUACUGGACAUUAAGUAAUCAAUAUCUUAACGUGCAAACACAA
This 72-nucleotide transfer RNA is filed under the name Schistosoma mansoni. Lineage: Eukaryota; Metazoa; Platyhelminthes; Trematoda; Strigeidida; Schistosomatidae. The record is from RNAcentral.